Molecule: ribosomal RNA, 468 nt
Filed under: uncultured bacterium
Lineage: Bacteria
Description: partial 16S ribosomal RNA
Rfam family: Bacterial small subunit ribosomal RNA
Source: RNAcentral
GACGAACGCUGGCGGCGUGCUUAACACAUGCAAGUCGAACGGAAAGGCCCUGCUUUUGUGGGGUGCUCGAGUGGCGAACGGGUGAGUAACACGUGAGUAACCUGCCCUUGACUUUGGGGUAACUUCAGGAAACUGGGGCUAAUAUCGGAUAGGAGCUCCUGCUGCAUGGUGGGGGUUGGAAAGUUUCGGCGGUUGGGGAUGGACUCGCGGCUUAUCAGCUGGUUGGUGGGGUAGUGGCUUACCAAGGCUUUGACGGGUAGCCGGCCUGAGAGGGUGACCGGCCACAUUGGGACUGAGAUACGGCCCAGACUCCUACGGGAGGCAGCAGUGGAGAAUAUUGCACAGUGGGCGGAAGCCUGAUGCAGCAACGCCGCGUGCGGGAUGACGGCCUUCGGGUUGUAAACCGCUUUCGCCUGUGACGAAGCGUGAGUGACGGUAAUGGGUAAAGAAGCACCGGCUAACUACGUG